Molecule: long non-coding RNA, 1127 nt
Filed under: Pan troglodytes (chimpanzee)
Lineage: Eukaryota; Metazoa; Chordata; Mammalia; Primates; Hominidae
Description: lncRNA (ENSPTRG00000053714.1)
Source: RNAcentral
AAAGAAUUCGGGAAUCACCUUUUUCAAAUGUUUCAUUCCUUUUUUCCAUUCCUUAAAGGUAAUGAACUCCCCAAAGGCAGAGACGUUAGUGGAUGAAUGAAGAAAUGAAAUGAGAAGGAGCUAGAAAUGGAACAUGCUAUCUGUGAUGGUGCCUGCAGAGCUGUCUGCAUCCCAUUAUGCCUCACUAUAUGGAAAGAUUGACUGCAUUCUUUCGAACAUUGCCUAGUUCAACAAGUAAGUAUUGGAUGGAUGGAGGGAUGGAUAUAUAGGUGGAGGGAUAGACAGAGGGAUAGAUGGGUACCGUGUGUUAAACAUAGUGCUAAGCAUUUCAUAUGCUUUAUAUGAUAUUAUCCUCAUGUCUCUGCAAGGUAAAUACUAUUGUUAUCACCACGUUAACGUGAGACACAGAGACAUCUAGAAGAUUACAGGAUGUGAGCAAGCUCACAAGCAAGUGGCAGAGUUGGGACUAGAAUCCAGGCAGUGCACUCCUGAGCUAUGAAGAACUUCACCCUGCAAAGUGCUGGGCAAACCCCUCAUUCAGAGCCAGCAUUUUACAGGGCAGUGCAGUUACUUUCAGGGAGGGAGUAAUCUCAAGACUCUCAUGACUAUGUCUGCUCUGCUUUCUUCACAGGCUUUUAAUUUCAGUCUAAUUCAAGUCAGCAGCACAGGGCAGCUCCUGGGAAAUUGGUUUACACAUGCAGACAAGCCCAGUAGCCCAGAGCUAACCCACUCACCAUCCCUGACCAUAGAGGAGCAGAUAAGGAAGCAAGAUUUGUCGGGAGCUAUGACAAGUUCCACUGUGGACAGCAAGGAAAUGAGGGGGCAGCAACCUGUUAAUGAGACUCAAGAGUGUCAAGACCCAUUUUUGUUAUCUGGAUUUUCAAGGCCGAGUUCAAACAUGAGGAUCCUGGAAAGGUUGGCAGACGUCUGCGGAAGCUACCCUCUCUGUUGUAAAAGUCCACAAAUGAGAAGUGGCUGCAGUGUAUAAACCUGUGGACAGCUCUUCCUGUGCUGUCACCCACUCUCAUAGCUCACCAUCCUCAGGUACCCUCUUAUCUCUGCUCACACAGUACCCACCUGAAAUGCCUAACCUGGUAACUCCACCCAGUGAAAUUCUGUGAAUCCCG